AAGUCAUUGUGGAGGAAAUUCCUAAACAAGCUUUUGUAUCUCUCCCAUGCCUCAUAUAGUGACUCGCCCGGUUGUUGCUUGAAAUUGGCAAUGACUUUCUUCAAUUU
Lactuca sativa (garden lettuce) is the source of this 107-nucleotide small nucleolar RNA. The record is from RefSeq and is a predicted model, not a curated record. Lineage: Eukaryota; Viridiplantae; Streptophyta; Magnoliopsida; Asterales; Asteraceae.